Molecule: transfer RNA, 76 nt
Filed under: Saccharopolyspora rectivirgula
Lineage: Bacteria; Bacillati; Actinomycetota; Actinomycetes; Pseudonocardiales; Pseudonocardiaceae
Description: tRNA-Thr
Rfam family: tRNA
About the family: Transfer RNA (tRNA) molecules are approximately 80 nucleotides in length. Their secondary structure includes four short double-helical elements and three loops (D, anti-codon, and T loops). Further hydrogen bonds mediate the characteristic L-shaped molecular structure. tRNAs have two regions of fundamental functional importance: the anti-codon, which is responsible for specific mRNA codon recognition, and the 3' end, to which the tRNAs corresponding amino acid is attached (by aminoacyl-tRNA synthetases). tRNAs cope with the degeneracy of the genetic code in two manners: having more than one tRNA (with a specific anti-codon) for a particular amino acid; and 'wobble' base-pairing, i.e. permitting non-standard base-pairing at the 3rd anti-codon position.
Source: RNAcentral
GCCGCUGUAGCUCAGUUGGUAGAGCGCCCGCCUUGUAAGCGGAUGGUCAGGGGUUCGAGUCCCCUCAGCGGCUCCC